UGAGGAAUAUUGCACAAUGGGGGCAACCCUGAUGCAGCAACGCCGCGUGGAGGAUGAAGGUCUUUGGAUUGUAAACUCCUUUUUUCGGGGAAGAGGAAGGACGGUACCCGAAGAAUAAGUCACGGCUAACUACGUGCCAGCAGCCGCGGUAAUACGUAGGUGGCAAGCGUUAUCCGGAAUUACUGGGCGUAAAGGGCACGCAGGCGGCUGUCCAAGUCUGACGUGAAAGCUCCUGGCUUAACUGGGAGAGGUCGUUGGAAACUGGGCAGCUUGAGGUGAUGAGAGGGGUGCGGAAUUACCGGUGUAGUGGUGGAAUGCGUAGAUAUCGGUAGGAACACCAGUGGCGAAGGCGGCACCCUGGCAUUAACCUGACGCUCAUGUGCGAAAGCGUGGGGAGCGAACGGGAUUAGAUACCCCCGUAGUCC
RNAcentral lists this ribosomal RNA (425 nucleotides) under uncultured prokaryote. RNAcentral's name for it is "bacterial SSU rRNA". It matches the Rfam family "Bacterial small subunit ribosomal RNA", at positions 355 to 796 of the family's 1533-position model. The record is from RNAcentral.